This 628-nucleotide long non-coding RNA is filed under the name Setaria viridis. Its description in RNAcentral is "long non-coding RNA (SVIR_LNC009609)". Lineage: Eukaryota; Viridiplantae; Streptophyta; Magnoliopsida; Poales; Poaceae. The record is from RNAcentral.
AUGAAUAUGCAUCUACUACAUAAAAAGAGGUUGCCUUAGGGAUGGCAAUAGGGCGGGUUAGGGUCGGGUGGAGCUUCCGCGGACCUGCCCUCGAAACUCGAGAAUAAAACCCGCUCCGAACCAGAACCUUAUUUCGAGUGACAAUGAGCACCUGCCCCCGAAACCCCGGGUGCCUGAAACCCGACGGACCCUCCGAAACCCGAGCAAGACAAUGACAGGGGGCGAGGCGCGAGCGGCCGGCGGCACCACGGGCGAGGGGGCGAUGGGGAUUUGGGGCCGGGGUGUGGGCAUGCGCACUGGCCGGGAGAUGGGGAGAGUGGGAGAUGACUGUGUGAACGGAGAUUAUAUACCUAAGUUGUUGUUGGGCUGGGCUAGUUUAUGGGCUGAAAUAUAUAAUUCGGGGCCCCGUGGGUCACCCGUGGGGGAAGUAUAAACCCGUUCCUGCACCCGCCAUGUGUUGGGUCCCUAAACCGGAGACCCACGGGGGCAAUUCCGGACCUGCCCCCGCCCCCGUCGAGUCUGAAACCCGUGGGUCUCGGGUCCAGACCCGCCCGAUUGCCAUCCCUAGGUUGCCUUCGCUAGCUUCACAACAGUUACAUGCUUACUCGGUCCUUUCCCUCCUGCAUAC